UACAACUCAAACAAGAAGUCAAGUCAGAGAUCAUCCAUGAAAAGCAACAAGUCAACCUUCAGAUACCUGCUGCUGCAAGUCAUCUGCAUUACACACCGUCAGAUCUCCACUGUGGAUUCGCUUUUCCUCGCCUGCAUUUCUUUAUUCAUCACAUCUGACUCAAACUCCAGAACCAGGCACCACGGUUGUUGGCCCGUCCUGUAACAUUAUCCCCACCACUUGCCGU
Plectropomus leopardus (leopard coralgrouper) is the source of this 226-nucleotide long non-coding RNA. RefSeq lists it as uncharacterized. The record is from RefSeq and is a predicted model, not a curated record. NCBI's taxonomy places the organism in Eukaryota, Metazoa, Chordata, Actinopteri, Perciformes, Serranidae.